UGCCUUUUGGUGGGGGACAACAGUUGGAAACGACUGCUAAUACCGCAUAAUGUCUACGGACCAAAGUGGGGGACCUUCGGNANCUCACGCCAAAAGAUUAGCCCAAGUGGGAUUANCUAGUUGGUAAGGUAAUGGCUUACCAAGGCAACGAUCCCUAGCUGGUUUGAGAGGAUGANCAGCCACACUGGGACUGAGACACGGCCCAGACUCCUACGGGAGGCAGCAGUGGGGAAUAUUGCACAAUGGGCGCAAGCCUGAUGCAGCCAUGCCGCGUGUGUGAAGAAGGCCUUCGGGUUGUAAAGCACUUUCAGUAAGGAGGAAAGGGUAGUCUUUAAUAGAGGCUAUCUGUGACGUUACUUACAGAAGAAGCACCGGCUAACUCCGUGCCAGCAGCCGCGGUAAUACGGAGGGUGCGAGCGUUAAUCGGAAUUACUGGGCGUAAAGCGUACGCAGGCGGUUUGUUAAGCGAGAUGUGAAAGCCCCGGGCUCAACCUGGGAACUGCAUUUCGAACUGGCAAACUAGAGUGUGAUAGAGGGUGGUAGAAUUUCA
RNAcentral lists this ribosomal RNA (550 nucleotides) under marine bacterium SIMO-4419. RNAcentral's name for it is "bacterial SSU rRNA". It matches the Rfam family "Bacterial small subunit ribosomal RNA", at positions 127 to 671 of the family's 1533-position model. The record is from RNAcentral.